This 464-nucleotide ribosomal RNA is filed under the name uncultured bacterium. RNAcentral describes it as "partial 16S ribosomal RNA". It matches the Rfam family "Bacterial small subunit ribosomal RNA", at positions 339 to 795 of the family's 1533-position model. The record is from RNAcentral.
CUACGGGAGGCUCCAGUGAGGAAUUUUGCGCAAUGGGGGAAACCCUGACGCAGCAACGCCGCGUGAGUGAAGAAGGCUUUCGGGUCGUAAAGCUCUGUCAGAUAGGAAAAAAGUUCAUAUGUAAAUAGCUUAUGAAUCUGAUGGUACUAUCAGAGGAAGCACCGGCUAACUCCGUGCCAGCAGCCGCGGUAAUACGGAGGGUGCAAGCGUUGUUCGGAAUUACUGGGCGUAAAGGGCGUGUAGGCGGUAUGGUAAGUCAGAUGUGAAAGCCCUGGGCUUAACUCAGGAAGUGCAUUUGAUACUGCCAUCCUUGAGUAUGGGAGAGGAGAGUAGAAUUCCCAGUGUAGAGGUGAAAUUCGUAGAUAUUGGGAGGAAUACCCGUGGCGAAGGCGACUCUCUGGACCAAUACUGACGCUGAGACGCGAAAGCGUGGGGAGCAAACAGGAUUAGAUACCCGGGUAGUC